This 270-nucleotide long non-coding RNA is filed under the name Actinidia chinensis (golden kiwifruit). RNAcentral describes it as "long non-coding RNA (ACHI_LNC007913)". Lineage: Eukaryota; Viridiplantae; Streptophyta; Magnoliopsida; Ericales; Actinidiaceae. The record is from RNAcentral.
AGAGGGAAUCAUUCUGCUUUUGCCUUUUCUAAGCGGACGCUGCUGCUACAAAUCUCGGCUUGUAUGUUUAUGGACAGACUCUAUUGAACCUCGGCUUGCAUUUUGCUGCUGGGGCUUCUCUGCUGAGCCCAAGCUGCUGGGCUGGCUGGCUCAGCUGGUGUUAUUUUUCUACAACGACGCACGCCAACUCACCAAGCUAAGAUGUACGCUGGCACUAUGAAUUUGACCUUGGAUUUUAGUGAAUCUUCCAGAAGAUUUGCAUAAAUAAAA